UUUAAACCCUGCCUACUUCUUUCUCGUUUCGGAUUUCAGAUUCUGAAACUCCGGCAAACUCUCAGCGCUCUUAGGCUAGCUCCGCGACGGCUCCCAAGGCUGGAGACUCCAAAUCGAAUCCUCUUCGGACUGCCACGCUGCAAAAGACGUCCUGGGAUUGUAUUCCAAUUACGUGACGUUUGUUAAAAUCCCACUACAUUUUUUACGAAAUGGAACGUUUGAUUGCCGCGGGCGGAGAGCGUUUGCCGGUAUAGAGCUCGGUGCGACCCUGCACACGACCUUGGCACAGAGCACAUGCGGGGUAAACGUGGACGAUGAAGGGCUUCGUGGCCUUUUAGGACGCGACUGUGUUAUUUAUUGGGGAGUCAGAUUAACGAAGCUAGGACGGCUGCGGUUGUCUUGCUUAGUGAAGAACCCGGGCCUGUACACUCGGGUCCAAGUAAACCGUUUUGCACUGUGCUUCCAUUGCCUCCUAUUUUUCAAACUGUUAUUAUCUGGGCAGUUGCUUCACUUCUUGUUAUGUCGAGAAAAGGCCAGGGAAUGAUGCAAUUACCAAAAGAAUCAAGAAACCUUCCAGCCCAGCCUCAGUUCAGAAUCCCUCAUGAAAUAGAAGCAGAAGGCCAAUCGCAUGUAACUCAGCUUUGAAAGUGCCAACCGUUCAGUUGGACUGAUGUAACCCUAGAGACCCCGCUCCGCUGCAAGAUGGAAGGAGGCUUAAGUAAAACAGAUAUAAAUUUGUAAUGAACUUGCUCGCAACAUCCGGCGCCGCUGUGAAUUACAGCCUUCGUCCAUCACCGUAGACUUCAGGAUUUGUUCUUGUUUUCAGCAAUUCAGAAAUGGAGUUUACAUUCUUGAUAAAAUUUGUCAAAAAUUAUUUAAUAAUACGCAAACAGGAAGAUUAAAAUGACUUAAUAAAUAAAGAUGGAAGCAUCACCAGAAGAAAUUUCUAAACGUAAUCACUAUAUUUUAGAUGGGACCCACACUCCUUUCCUGUAUCAAGGAAUUUUUCAGAAAUCGGGCGCUGUAGGUGGAGCCCUUAGUCUCAAUUGGGGAUUUUCAGAGCUUACAAUGUUAAGUAUCUGGUUUUGGAUAAAAAGAUAAAGCAGAUAUUACUUUUAGAAUAAUUUUAAGUUGUAAUAGGUUUGGUGACAAUAUUGUACAAAGCAGUAGAAAGAGUACAAGAAACAUCAUCCCUCUUUCAUCUUGUAAUCACUCCACGUUUUCUGUCCAGAGCUGACCAUUGUUAAC
Molecule: long non-coding RNA, 1248 nt
Organism: Bubalus bubalis (water buffalo)
Lineage: Eukaryota; Metazoa; Chordata; Mammalia; Artiodactyla; Bovidae
Exons: 2
Source: RefSeq, a predicted model, not a curated record